AGCUCUUGCAUACACAUGAGUUGGCAGCCGGUCUGAGCUGACCCAUAGACUCGUAAAAACCAACAGGGCCUCAGCACCCUCGCCUGGGAUACCCAAACUCUUGGACCAAAGGUGCAAAGUCUUGCCCACAUCAAGGAUCUGGCUGCUUUCUUGGGGACCAAGAGAUUGGGUUUUUGUUUCUACGCUUACUCUGGCAAUCCAUGAGAAGCCAGCCAGACAGACAACGUCUCCUCCUUCUGGGUCUCAGGUUUAAUGAAUUACGUGGGGACACCGGCCAUAUAAAAACACAAGCAGGCACUCAGUCUUGGACCAGUCAACCACGGAGUUGGAAUUCAGGUCUGACCCAGGACCACGGGUUCCAAGGCGAGAGACUCUGGGGCACCUGCACGUACUCUCCAGGUAGACUGGCCUUGUUGCUUUUCACAGGAAUCAGUAUUCAUAAUAGACAGGAGCUAUAUUUCAGUCCCCCACCCCCAGUCUCAUGUAUUUAUGAUACUUGGUAAGAUCAGCUUUGGUCCUGAUAUUGUAUCAUCAAACAGGUCAUUACGGUCUAUAUUAAUCCAGGUGAGGAUUUUUUUUAUUUUAAGGCAGGCAACUGAAAAUAGAAACAAGGUGGACUGAUACAUUCUUUCUUGCUCUUUUUUUUUUUAAGUUUAUGUAUUUAUUUUGAGAGAGAGAAAGGGGGAGGGAGGGGCAGAGAGAGAGAGAGAGAGAGAGACUGGGAAAGAGAGAAUCCCAAGCAGGCUCCAUGCUGUCAGCGUGGGGCAUGAUGCAGGGCUCGAACACACAUGAGAUCAUGACCUGAGCCAAAAUCAAGAGUCAGACACUAAAGACACUUACCCAACCCAGGCGCCUCUCUUGGUCUUGACAGUGGUGCUUG
This 880-nucleotide long non-coding RNA is filed under the name Felis catus (domestic cat). Its description in RNAcentral is "lncRNA (ENSFCAG00000041905.2)". The record is from RNAcentral. Lineage: Eukaryota; Metazoa; Chordata; Mammalia; Carnivora; Felidae.